This 284-nucleotide unclassified non-coding RNA is filed under the name Hevea brasiliensis (rubber tree). The record is from RNAcentral. Lineage: Eukaryota; Viridiplantae; Streptophyta; Magnoliopsida; Malpighiales; Euphorbiaceae.
AAGAGCAAGGGCUCGAGCACACUGCCGCUCUCCGAUGAUGGUCGACCGAUCACUGAUCCUGCUGCCAAUGUCUCUUUCGAUGACCAACGUCGAAUAGAGAUCUUCCUCAAGGAUCAAAUCCCAACACACUACGCCCUUGCUGGCUAUGUCCUUGUCGCCGCCAUCUCCAUCGGCACACUCCCCCAAAUCUUCCCCCAACUCAAAUGGUACUACAUUCUCGUCGCCUACAUCUUCGCCCCUGUGCUUGCCUUCUGCAAUGCCUAUGGUUGUGGCCUCACCGACUG